Molecule: ribosomal RNA, 460 nt
Filed under: uncultured bacterium
Lineage: Bacteria
Description: partial 16S ribosomal RNA
Rfam family: Bacterial small subunit ribosomal RNA
Source: RNAcentral
CCUACGGGAGGCAGCAGUGAGGAAUAUUGGUCAAUGGACGAGAGUCUGAACCAGCCAAGUAGCGUGAAGGAUGACUGCCCUAUGGGUUGUAAACUUCUUUUAUAUGGGAAUAAAACGUUCCACGUGUGGGAUUUUGUAUGUACCAUAUGAAUAAGGAUCGGCUAACUCCGUGCCAGCAGCCGCGGUAAUACGGAGGAGCCGAGCGUUAUCCGGAUUUAUUGGGUUUAAAGGGAGCGUAGGUGGAUUGUUAAGUCAGUUGUGAAAGUUUGCGGCUCAACCGUAAAAUUGCAGUUGAAACUGGCAGUCUUGAGUACAGUAGAGGUGGGCGGAAUUCGUGGUGUAGCGGUGAAAUGCUUAGAUAUCACGAAGAACUCCGAUUGCGAAGGCAGUUCACUGGACUGCAACUGACACUGAGGCUCGAAAGUGUGGGUAUCAAACAGGAUUAGAUACCCCGGUAGUC